Molecule: long non-coding RNA, 220 nt
Filed under: Carica papaya (papaya)
Lineage: Eukaryota; Viridiplantae; Streptophyta; Magnoliopsida; Brassicales; Caricaceae
Description: long non-coding RNA (CPAP_LNC008336)
Source: RNAcentral
AUCAUAGAUGUUGGUGCGUAGACCUUUUAGAAACUCUCUAGCUUUACAACUUUCGGGGGUGAUUAUUACAGGGCUAACCUAAACAGUUGGACAAAACGAGUUGCAUACUAGGUAAUUGUCAGGUUUUUUUGGCGGAGAUCAUGAAAUUCCUCAUUAUUUUCUUGGACAUAGGCAGGGAAAAAGUUGUCAAAAAUGCAUCUAUGAAAAUCUCUCAGGUGAU